UACGUAGGGCGCAAGCGUUGUCCGGAAUUAUUGGGCGUAAAGAGCUCGUAGGCGGUUUGUCGCGUCUGCUGUGAAAGCCCGGGGCUUAACCCCGGGUGUGCAGUGGGUACGGGCAGACUUGAGUGCAGUAGGGGAGACUGGAAUUCCUGGUGUAGCGGUGAAAUGCGCAGAUAUCAGGAGGAACACCGAUGGCGAAGGCAGGUCUCUGGGCUGUUACUGACGCUGAGGAGCGAAAGCAUGGGGAGCGAAC
RNAcentral lists this ribosomal RNA (250 nucleotides) under uncultured bacterium. RNAcentral describes it as "partial 16S ribosomal RNA". It matches the Rfam family "Bacterial small subunit ribosomal RNA", at positions 524 to 773 of the family's 1533-position model. The record is from RNAcentral.